GAUGAACGCUAGCUACAGGCUUAACACAUGCAAGUCGAGGGGCAGCAUGGUCUUAGCUUGCUAAGGCCGAUGGCGACCGGCGCACGGGUGAGUAACACGUAUCCAACCUGCCGUCUACUCUUGGACAGCCUUCUGAAAGGAAGAUUAAUACAAGAUGGCAUCAUGAGUCCACAUGUUCACAUGAUUAAAGGUAUUCCGGUAGACGAUGGGGAUGCGUUCCAUUAGAUAGUAGGCGGGGUAACGGCCCACCUAGUCUUCGAUGGAUAGGGGUUCUGAGAGGAAGGUCCCCCACAUUGGAACUGAGACACGGUCCAAACUCCUACGGGAGGCAGCAGUGAGGAAUAUUGGUCAAUGGGCGAGAGCCUGAACCAGCCAAGUAGCGUGAAGGAUGACUGCCCUAUGGGUUGUAAACUUCUUUUAUAAAGGAAUAAAGUCGGGUAUGCAUACCCGUUUGCAUGUACUUUAUGAAUAAGGAUCGGCUAACUCCGUGCCAGCAGCCGCGGUAAUACGGAGGAUCCGAGCGUUAUCCGGAUUUAUUGGGUUUAAAGGGAGCGUAGAUGGAUGUUUAAGUCAGUUGUGAAAGUUUGCGGCUCAACCGUAAAAUUGCAGUUGAUACUGGAUAUCUUGAGUGCAGUUGAGGCAGGCGGAAUUCGUGGUGUAGCGGUGAAAUGCUUAGAUAUCACGAAGAACUCCGAUUGCGAAGGCAGCCUGCUAAGCUGCAACUGACAUUGAGGCUCGAAAGUGUGGGUAUCANACAGG
Molecule: ribosomal RNA, 759 nt
Filed under: uncultured bacterium
Lineage: Bacteria
Description: bacterial SSU rRNA
Rfam family: Bacterial small subunit ribosomal RNA
Source: RNAcentral